Molecule: long non-coding RNA, 1379 nt
Organism: Ruditapes philippinarum (Manila clam)
Lineage: Eukaryota; Metazoa; Mollusca; Bivalvia; Venerida; Veneridae
Exons: 4
Source: RefSeq, a predicted model, not a curated record
GGUCAGCGAGUAAACACAUGUAGAUUCACUACCUUUUACGUCAUGUUACUGCAUAUUUGGAGGUUUAAAUAAAUAUAAAGGUCUGACAGCCAACAUACAUUUAAGAUCUUCAACUUAGUUCAUCAGAGUUUUGAAGUAGAUAAUAUGAUUAUCCAGCAUGUUGGAGCCAUAUUCUUCAAGGAAAUGUACUUAACACAUAGAUAGUUCACCUAUUUGCUGAUGAAUAUACUAAACUAUUGUUGGAAAUGAGGCACAAUGUGUGACAAAGUUCUAUGCCCUAUUGAGCACCAGGGUUAUGGAGUAAAAAAGACAAUCACUUGUAUCAACUGUACUGUAUUGGUCAAGAUAAAAAACACUUCAAUUGGGAUGGCAUGUGAGAAGUCAAUGAUUUGUCUAUGUUUGACAGUAUACCAAAAGUGAAUUACAUUCUCAUAGAAUUUGUCUUUAGAAGUAUCCCUAAAAAAGCUGAAUACUACAGUGGGAGGUGUUACAAUAUUUUUACUUAAUUGUGAAACAAGUUUUAUAUAUGAAUCACUUUUUGCUUACAAAAACUGAAAACAUAUGAGGAGACAUUGUUGCUAUUACCCUGUUUGGGUCAAACCCUCAACAUGGGGUUGCAAGACUAUAAUUCAAGGACAUAAAUGAACUCUCAUUUGUGACUUCCCAUGUGAUUGCUAGAAUCUUUUAUUGUAAUUGUUUUAAAUUAAUUGAAAUUAUUUCAAUUUAAAAAUAUACUAAUAUGUUAUUCAUAUUAUACAAUUUAAAAUACACUAAUCAGAAUAUGAUUACACUGUCAAUAUCUGUAACUGAAAAUUUAGUCAGGAACAUAACUAGUGCAAGCCCUUUCUAUUUUUUUUUUUUUUUUUUUGGUUAAAAUUCUGAAAGACUUGAAGUUAUUGUGAAAAGGAAUAUUUUUUUAUAAAAUGCAAUUAUUUUAAAUCACUCAGUUAUUUUUGCAUUUUUUUGUUACCAUGGCAACCAAAAUACACCAUUUUUGCAAUCAGUGCAUUAAAGAAUAUUUGUUUUGCUUUGGAUUCAUAUUUUAUAUGCUAUCAUGUUAUAGAUGUGCAUUUUAAAGUUGACUAACUUAAGUUAUGAUAUUUACCUUAAUCAUGGAAAAGGUACUGUAAUUCUGAGAAUUUAAUUCUUAUGUUUAAAGUUAAUAUCAAUAACUAUUAAGGGGUAAAAUGAAAAAUCCUUUUUUUCUUAAAAGUCUUUAAUAUUGUUGUCUUUUAAUAUAAUAUAUGCAUUAUUUUGGUGAUGAAUUAAUCAGGUUAAGUGCAAAAAUAUUGCAUUUGAUGAUUUUUUUAUAUUUUUGUUGCCAUGGCAACCGAUUUUUUGAAAACAAACGAUUGUUUUUAUAUGAAGAUAUUACAUAA